GCGGGCGUAGCUCAGCUGGUUAGAGCGCCGGCCUGUCACGCUGGAGGUCGUGGGUUCAAGUCCCAUCGCCCGCG
Molecule: transfer RNA, 74 nt
Filed under: Candidatus Ryanbacteria bacterium RIFCSPHIGHO2_01_FULL_48_27
Lineage: Bacteria; Candidatus Ryaniibacteriota
Also listed under: 1 other name
Description: tRNA-Asp
Rfam family: tRNA
About the family: Transfer RNA (tRNA) molecules are approximately 80 nucleotides in length. Their secondary structure includes four short double-helical elements and three loops (D, anti-codon, and T loops). Further hydrogen bonds mediate the characteristic L-shaped molecular structure. tRNAs have two regions of fundamental functional importance: the anti-codon, which is responsible for specific mRNA codon recognition, and the 3' end, to which the tRNAs corresponding amino acid is attached (by aminoacyl-tRNA synthetases). tRNAs cope with the degeneracy of the genetic code in two manners: having more than one tRNA (with a specific anti-codon) for a particular amino acid; and 'wobble' base-pairing, i.e. permitting non-standard base-pairing at the 3rd anti-codon position.
Source: RNAcentral